This 477-nucleotide ribosomal RNA is filed under the name Veillonella parvula. RNAcentral describes it as "bacterial SSU rRNA". It matches the Rfam family "Bacterial small subunit ribosomal RNA", at positions 28 to 474 of the family's 1533-position model. Lineage: Bacteria; Bacillati; Bacillota; Negativicutes; Veillonellales; Veillonellaceae. The record is from RNAcentral.
GACGAACGCUGGCGGCGUGCUUAACACAUGCAAGUCGAACGAAGAGCGAUGGAAGCUUGCUUCUAUCAAUCUUAGUGGCGAACGGGUGAGUAACGCGUAAUCAACCUGCCCUUCAGAGGGGGACAACAGUUGGAAACGACUGCUAAUACCGCAUACGAUCUAAUCUCGGCAUCGAGGAUAGAUGAAAGGUGGCCUCUACAUGUAAGCUAUCACUGAAGGAGGGGAUUGCGUCUGAUUAGCUAGUUGGAGGGGUAACGGCCCACCAAGGCGAUGAUCAGUAGCCGGUCUGAGAGGAUGAACGGCCACAUUGGGACUGAGACACGGCCCAGACUCCUACGGGAGGCAGCAGUGGGGAAUCUUCCGCAAUGGACGAAAGUCUGACGGAGCAACGCCGCGUGAGUGAUGACGGCCUUCGGGUUGUAAAGCUCUGUUAAUCGGGACGAAAGGCCUUCUUGCGAAUAGUGAGAAGGAUAGACG